AUCCGUUUAAAUAAAUGUGCCCGCGGAAGAGAUGACUUAAGUGAGGCCUUGCUGUGAAAUUCGCAAAUGGAAAUAAAACUGGCCAGCAGAAGUAGAAGUCCCGGACGCAAAAAUCCACUCCAGACAAAAAGAAUUUUAUUGGCCUUCACUUAACGCUCAUAAAUUUGUCUGCCGCAAAAUCUGCGAGACAAGACCAGAACAGAAGACCAGAAGACCAGAAAAAGCAAGAGAACAGAAAUUAAAAGAAUAUUGUUUAUAGUGCUUCCGCAGAGGUCUAGAUGUCUGGAACUGGUUCGGAAACACACAGUUUGCCAUUCUGGAGGCGAGAGACGUUUUGUAAGAGCUAACCAACCAACCCCCCUCCACCGUUUGCCAUUAAAAUAUUGUUGCACAACUCCGAUGCACCGGAUCCCUCCCAUUUCUUGUUGCGGAAAGUGCUCGCGGGUGAGUGCCGAACUUCACGCACAAAUCUGAUUAAAACUCGGUCCCAGUUAAUGAACCAAGACCCCGACGACGAUCCCCUCCGCAGCUCGCAAUGGAAGUGUGCAUCUGGAUGGACUGCAGCACGUAAGAUGGCCAGCCAGCCAGACGCACAGAUAGUGCACCGUCUAUAAAUAGCCAUCAGCCAACAGCCAACGAGCCACAUGUUGGUCAAGUUUUUCACUCUCGAGAAGAAGACGUCUAAAGUGGUUUCAAAAUUCGGUUAACUACCAAUUUU
Molecule: non-coding RNA, 718 nt
Organism: Drosophila melanogaster (fruit fly)
Lineage: Eukaryota; Metazoa; Arthropoda; Insecta; Diptera; Drosophilidae
Source: Ensembl